AUGAAGUGUGACAUGCCCGUUUGGGUUAUUACUCUGAUGAAUUAUUUAUUAAUUAAUUGCUUUGGGAUAACGGGGUGUUACACACUUAA
This is a microRNA precursor of Medicago truncatula (barrel medic), 89 nucleotides long. It matches the Rfam family "MIR2617 microRNA precursor family". NCBI's taxonomy places the organism in Eukaryota, Viridiplantae, Streptophyta, Magnoliopsida, Fabales, Fabaceae. The record is from Rfam.